Molecule: ribosomal RNA, 253 nt
Filed under: uncultured bacterium
Lineage: Bacteria
Description: partial 16S ribosomal RNA
Rfam family: Bacterial small subunit ribosomal RNA
Source: RNAcentral
UACGUAGGGUGCGAGCGUUAAUCGGAAUUACUGGGCGUAAAGCGUGCGCAGGCGGCUUUGCAAGACAGAGGUGAAAUCCCCGGGCUCAACCUGGGAACUGCCUUUGUGACUGCAUAGCUAGAGUACGGUAGAGGGGGAUGGAAUUCCGCGUGUAGCAGUGAAAUGCGUAGAUAUGCGGAGGAACACCGAUGGCGAAGGCAAUCCCCUGGACCUGUACUGACGCUCAUGCACGAAAGCGUGGGGAGCAAACAGG